AGAGUUUGAUCCUGGCUCAGAGCGAACGCUGGCGGCAGGCUUAACACAUGCAAGUCGAACGGGCACCUUCGGGUGUCAGUGGCAGACGGGUGAGUAACACGUGGGAACGUGCCUUUCGGUUCGGAACAACUCCGGGAAACUGGAGCUAAUACCGGAUACGCCCUUCGGGGGAAUGAUUUAUCGCCGAAAGAUCGGCCCGCGUCUGAUUAGCUUGUUGGUGAGGUAACGGCUCACCAAGGCGACGAUCAGUAGCUGGUCUGAGAGGAUGAUCAGCCACACUGGGACUGAGACACGGCCCAGACUCCUACGGGAGGCAGCAGUGGGGAAUAUUGGACAAUGGGCGCAAGCCUGAUCCAGCCAUGCCGCGUGAGUGAUGAAGGCCCUAGGGUUGUAAAGCUCUUUUGUCCGGGAAGAUAAUGACUGUACCGGAAGAAUAAGCCCCGGCUAACUUCGUGCCAGCAGCCGCGGUAAUACGAAGGGGGCUAGCGUUGCUCGGAAUCACUGGGCGUAAAGGGCGCGUAGGCGGACUCUUAAGUCAGAGGUGAAAGCCCAAGGCUCAAGCUUGGAAUUGCCUAACAUACUAAGAAUUCUAGAGACCGGAAGAGGUAAGUGGAACUGCCAGUGUAGAGGUGAAAUUCGUAAAUAUUCCCAAGACCGCCAGUGGCAAAGGCGGCUUAUUGGUUCGGUUCUGACCCUGAGGCCCCAAAGCGUGGGGAGCAAACGGG
RNAcentral lists this ribosomal RNA (725 nucleotides) under uncultured bacterium. RNAcentral describes it as "bacterial SSU rRNA". It matches the Rfam family "Bacterial small subunit ribosomal RNA", at positions 8 to 776 of the family's 1533-position model. The record is from RNAcentral.